GCCUUCGUGGUGAAUGGUGAGCACACUCGGCCGGUAUUAAUCCAAGAGGUCCAAGGUUCGAGUCCCGGCGAGGGCA
RNAcentral lists this transfer RNA (76 nucleotides) under Stegodyphus mimosarum. It matches the Rfam family "tRNA". From Rfam's summary of the family: Transfer RNA (tRNA) molecules are approximately 80 nucleotides in length. Their secondary structure includes four short double-helical elements and three loops (D, anti-codon, and T loops). Further hydrogen bonds mediate the characteristic L-shaped molecular structure. tRNAs have two regions of fundamental functional importance: the anti-codon, which is responsible for specific mRNA codon recognition, and the 3' end, to which the tRNAs corresponding amino acid is attached (by aminoacyl-tRNA synthetases). tRNAs cope with the degeneracy of the genetic code in two manners: having more than one tRNA (with a specific anti-codon) for a particular amino acid; and 'wobble' base-pairing, i.e. permitting non-standard base-pairing at the 3rd anti-codon position. Lineage: Eukaryota; Metazoa; Arthropoda; Arachnida; Araneae; Eresidae. The record is from Rfam by way of RNAcentral.